Molecule: ribosomal RNA, 406 nt
Filed under: uncultured bacterium
Lineage: Bacteria
Description: partial 16S ribosomal RNA
Rfam family: Bacterial small subunit ribosomal RNA
Source: RNAcentral
AUUGAACGCUGGCGGCAGGCCUAACACAUGCAAGUCGAACGAGUGGCGGACGGGUGAGUAAUAUCUGGGAAAGUGCCUGGUAGAGGGGGAUAACUACUGGAAACGGUGGCUAAUACCGCAUACCAUCGGAUGUGCCCAUAUGGGAUUAGCUAGUAGGUGGGGUAAAGGCUCACCUAGGCGACGAUCCCUAGCUGGUUUGAGAGGAUGACCAGCCACACUGGGACUGAGACACGGCCCAGACUCCUACGGGAGGCAGCAGUGGGGAAUAUUGGACAAUGGGGGAAACCCUGAUGCAGCCAUGCCGCGUGUAUGAUGAAGGCCUUCGGGUUGUAAAGUACUUUUAGCGGGGAGGCGGUACCCGCAGAAGAAGCACCGGCUAACUCCGUGCCAGCAGCCGCGGUAAUUC